Non-coding RNA from Chryseobacterium sp. Leaf201, 36 nucleotides. Lineage: Bacteria; Pseudomonadati; Bacteroidota; Flavobacteriia; Flavobacteriales; Weeksellaceae. The record is from Rfam.
ACGGCGGUAUCCGAAAAGCCGGUAAGAGAGUAGGAA